UGGUUGUAGAGUGUGGUUAAAUUACUACUUUAAAAGGAGGUUAUUUAAAAGGAUUACUAUUAGAAUUUUUAUAAUUUUAUUUUCUUUUGAUAGUGGCUUUUGAGAUUGAUUUUUUUGGUAGUAACUUUAAAUAUUUAGAAUCACCUUUAUUAGACAUUGGUGAUCUUUGAAGUCUUAUUUUGGUUCUUUAAUUUGGUGUUUAGGGCAUAUAUUGAGUAAAUCUUUUGAAGAAAAGAAUUGAAGAGGGAUUUUGGUAGCAAAAAGAGAGUUUAGGGCAUCCAUAUAGAUGAAUGGAGAU
RNAcentral lists this long non-coding RNA (298 nucleotides) under Physcomitrium patens. RNAcentral's name for it is "long non-coding RNA (PPAT_LNC003907)". Lineage: Eukaryota; Viridiplantae; Streptophyta; Bryopsida; Funariales; Funariaceae. The record is from RNAcentral.